UACGGGGGGGGCAAGCGUUGUUCGGAUUUACUGGGUUUAAAGGGUGCGUAGGUGGUUAGGAAAGUCAGUGGUGAAAUCUUCGGGCUUAACCCGGAAACUGCCAUUGAUACUUUUUAUCUUGAAUACUUUGGAGGUAAGCGGAAUAUGUCAUGUAGCGGUGAAAUGCUUAGAUAUGACAUAGAACACCAAUUGCGAAGGCAGCUUACUACACAGUUAUUGACACUGAGGCACGAAAGCGUGGGGAUCAAACAGG
This 253-nucleotide ribosomal RNA is filed under the name uncultured bacterium. RNAcentral describes it as "partial 16S ribosomal RNA". It matches the Rfam family "Bacterial small subunit ribosomal RNA", at positions 524 to 776 of the family's 1533-position model. The record is from RNAcentral.